Molecule: small nuclear RNA, 116 nt
Organism: Medicago truncatula (barrel medic)
Lineage: Eukaryota; Viridiplantae; Streptophyta; Magnoliopsida; Fabales; Fabaceae
Rfam family: U5 spliceosomal RNA
About the family: U5 RNA is a component of both types of known spliceosome.
Source: Rfam
AGCCGUGUGAUGAGCUCAAAGCAAACUAUUCUUUCGCCUUUUACUAAAGAAUACCAUGGACUCGUCACCGUUAACGGCAUAUGCCAAUUUUUCAGUAAUAGUAAGCACUUUUAUUU